GGUUCACUGCGCGAUCGGAUUAUUGGGCGUAAGAGCUCGUAGGCGGUUUGUCGCGUCUGCUGUGAAAGACCGGGGCUCAACUCCGGUUCUGCAGUGGGUACGGGCAGACUAGAGUGCAGUAGGGGAGACUGGAAUUCCUGGUGUAGCGGUGAAAUGCGCAGAUAUCAGGAGGAACACCGAUGGCGAAGGCAGGUCUCUGGGCUGUAACUGACGCUGAGGAGCGAAAGCAUGGGGAGCGAACAGGAUUAGAUACCCUGGUAGUCCAUGCCGUAAACGUUGGGCACUAGGUGUGGGGGACAUUCCACGUUUUCCGCGCCGUAGCUAACGCAUUAAGUGCCCCGCCUGGGGAGUACGGCCGCAAGGCUAAAACUCAAAGGAAUUGACGGGGGCCCGCACAAGCGGCGGAGCAUGCGGAUUAAUUCGAUGCAACGCGAAGAACCUUACCAAGGCUUGACAUGAACCGGUAAUACCUGGAAACAGGUGCCCCGCUUGCGGUCGGUUUACAGGUGGUGCAUGGUUGUCGUCAGCUCGUGUCGUGAGAUGUUGGGUUAAGUCCCGCAACGAGCGCAACCCUCGUUCUAUGUUGCCAGCGCGUUAUGGCGGGGACUCAUAGGAGACUGCCGGGGUCAACUCGGAGGAAGGUGGGGACGACGUCAAAUCAUCAUGCCCCUUAUGUCUUGGGCUUCACGCAUGCUACAAUGGCCGGUACAAAGGGUUGCGAUACUGUGAGGUGGAGCUAAUCCCAAAAAGCCGGUCUCAGUUCGGAUUGGGGUCUGCAACUCGACCCCAUGAAGUCGGAGUCGCUAGUAAUCGCAGAUCAGCAACGCUGCGGUGAAUACGUUCCCGGGCCUUGUACACACCGCCCGUCAAGUCACGAAAGUUGGUAACACCCGAAGCCGGUGGCCUAACCCUUGUGGGGGGAGCCGUCGAAGGUGGGACCGGCGAUUGGGACUAAGUCGUACCACAAGGUUAACUAA
Molecule: ribosomal RNA, 977 nt
Filed under: Arthrobacter sp.
Lineage: Bacteria; Bacillati; Actinomycetota; Actinomycetes; Micrococcales; Micrococcaceae
Description: bacterial SSU rRNA
Rfam family: Bacterial small subunit ribosomal RNA
Source: RNAcentral